Molecule: ribosomal RNA, 331 nt
Filed under: uncultured eukaryote
Lineage: Eukaryota
Description: partial 18S ribosomal RNA
Rfam family: Eukaryotic small subunit ribosomal RNA
Source: RNAcentral
CCCUUAGAUGUUCUGGGCCGCACGCGCGCUACACUGUUCGACGCAGCGAGUCUUAACCUUGACCGAAAGGUUUGGGUAAUCUUCAGCAAAGUCGAACGUGAUAGGGAUCGAUCAUUGCAAUUAUUGAUCGUGAACGAGGAAUUCCUAGUAAGUGCAAGUCAUCAGCUUGCGCUGAUUACGUCCCUGCCCUUUGUACACACCGCCCGUCGCUACUACCGAUUGAAUGGUUUAGUGAGAUCUCUGGAUUGACGCUGGCUAGGGGGCGACCCUUGGCCAGACUGUUGAGAAACUGCUCAAACUUGAUCAUUUAGAGGAAGUAAAAGUCGUAACA